Molecule: ribosomal RNA, 425 nt
Filed under: uncultured bacterium
Lineage: Bacteria
Description: partial 16S ribosomal RNA
Rfam family: Bacterial small subunit ribosomal RNA
Source: RNAcentral
GUGGGGAAUCUUGCGCAAUGGGCGAAAGCCUGACGCAGCCAUGUCGCGUGAAUGAUGAAGGUCUUAGGAUUGUAAAAUUCUUUCACCGGGGACGAUAAUGACGGUACCCGGAGAAGAAGCCCCGGCUAACUUCGUGCCAGCAGCCGCGGUAAUACGAAGGGGGCUAGCGUUGCUCGGAAUUACUGGGCGUAAAGGGCGCGUAGGCGGACAGUUUAGUCAGAGGUGAAAGCCCAGGGCUCAACCUUGGAAUUGCCUUUGAUACUGGCUGUCUUGAGUACGGGAGAGGUGAGUGGAACUCCGAGUGUAGAGGUGAAAUUCGUAGAUAUUCGGAAGAACACCAGUGGCGAAGGCGACUCACUGGCCCGUUACUGACGCUGAGGCGCGAAAGCGUGGGGAGCAAACAGGAUUAGAUACCCGAGUAGUCU